RNAcentral lists this ribosomal RNA (433 nucleotides) under uncultured Bacillus sp. RNAcentral describes it as "bacterial SSU rRNA". It matches the Rfam family "Bacterial small subunit ribosomal RNA", at positions 401 to 828 of the family's 1533-position model. The record is from RNAcentral. Lineage: Bacteria; Bacillati; Bacillota; Bacilli; Caryophanales; Bacillaceae.
GAGUGAUGAAGGUUUUCGGAUCGUAAAGCUCUGUUGUUAGGGAAGAACAAGUGCAAGAGUAACUGCUUGCACCUUGACGGUACCUAACCAGAAAGCCACGGCUAACUACGUGCCAGCAGCCGCGGUAAUACGUAGGUGGCAAGCGUUGUCCGGAAUUAUUGGGCGUAAAGGGCUCGCAGGCGGUUUCUUAAGUCUGAUGUGAAAGCCCCCGGCUCAACCGGGGAGGGUCAUUGGAAACUGGGAAACUUGAGUGCAGAAGAGGAGAGUGGAAUUCCACGUGUAGCGGUGAAAUGCGUAGAGAUGUGGAGGAACACCAGUGGCGAAGGCGACUCUCUGGUCUGUAACUGACGCUGAGGAGCGAAAGCGUGGGGAGCGAACAGGAUUAGAUACCCUGGUAGUCCACGCCGUAAACGAUGAGUGCUAAAGUGUUAGA